UUGAAACCCACAAAACAUACUUCUCCAAACUAGCGGCCAACUUCCAUUUCUCCCGUGUUCUUAAACUCAAAUCUCGCUAAAAAAAUUCAAGGAAACAUACGGUUUAUGAAAAAUAUUAAUCAAGGCUGUAACAAUUUCAAAAAGGCAAUAUGUGGGAAGUACCAAAUCGUUAGAAUCCUGACGCUAUAUUCUCGAUUGAAUUGGUUCUACCAGAAGAAAAGUUGCAGGAAGAAGGACUAACAACCAUAAUUUCACUUUUCAUUGGCUGCUUUUAGUUGCAGGAAGAAGGACUAGCAACCAUCAUUUCACUUUUCAUUGGUUGCUUUUAGGUAUGACAUAGUAGUUAGAACAAGUUAUUAGUAAAGAUAUAAUGAAAUUAUUUGAAUAUAAAAAUCAAACUGUUAUGGUGUUAAAUUUUCAUAUUAGUUUUAUGGAAUAACAGAAUGUAAACAUUUGUUUGGAAUAAAGCUGACACAUUACAGUUUGAA
Nicotiana attenuata is the source of this 488-nucleotide long non-coding RNA. RefSeq lists it as uncharacterized. The transcript has 3 exons. NCBI's taxonomy places the organism in Eukaryota, Viridiplantae, Streptophyta, Magnoliopsida, Solanales, Solanaceae. The record is from RefSeq and is a predicted model, not a curated record.